RNAcentral lists this ribosomal RNA (305 nucleotides) under uncultured Pseudomonadota bacterium. Its description in RNAcentral is "bacterial SSU rRNA". It matches the Rfam family "Bacterial small subunit ribosomal RNA", at positions 29 to 351 of the family's 1533-position model. The record is from RNAcentral. Lineage: Bacteria; Pseudomonadati; Pseudomonadota.
AACGAACGCUGGCGGCAGGCCUAACACAUGCAAGUCGAACGUGAAGCCACCUUCGGGUGGUGGAAAGUGGCAGACGGGUGAGUAACGCGUGGGAACGUGCCUUUCGGUUCGGAAUAACCCAGGGAAACUUGGGCUAAUACCGGAUACGCCCUUCGGGGGAAAGAUUCAUCGCCGAAAGAUCGGCCCGCGUCGGAUUAGCUAGUUGGUGGGGUAAUGGCCCACCAAGGCGACGAUCCGUAGCUGGUCUGAGAGGAUGACCAGCCACACUGGGACUGAGACACGGCCCAGACUCCUACGGGAGGCAG